GACUACCGGGGUAUCUAAUCCCGUUUGCUCCCCUAGCUUUCGCGCCUCAGCGUCAGUAUCGGCCCAGAUGAGCGCCUUCGCCACCGGUGUUCCUCCUGAUAUCUACGCAUUUCACCGCUACACCAGGAAUUCCCUCAUCCUCUCCCGUACUCAAGCCAGACAGUAUGAGAUGCAGGUCCUCGGGUGAGCCGAGGCAUUUCACAUCUCACUUAUCUGACCGCCUACACGCCCUUUACGCCCAGUGAUUCCGAACAACGCUUGCUCCCCCCGUGUUACCGCGGCUGCUGGCACGGAGUUAGCCGGAGCUUAUUCGUCAGCUACCGUCAAGCGACCAGAUUAUUCACCUGAUCGCAUUUCUUCGCUGACAAAAGAAGUUUACAACCCAAGGGCCUUCAUCCUUCACGCGGCGUCGCUCGGUCAGGGUUUCCCCCAUUGCCGAAGCUUCUCGACUGCAGCCCCCCGUAGG
RNAcentral lists this ribosomal RNA (466 nucleotides) under uncultured bacterium. RNAcentral describes it as "partial 16S ribosomal RNA". The record is from RNAcentral.